Molecule: ribosomal RNA, 440 nt
Filed under: uncultured bacterium
Lineage: Bacteria
Description: partial 16S ribosomal RNA
Rfam family: Bacterial small subunit ribosomal RNA
Source: RNAcentral
CCUACGGGAGGCAGCAGUGGGGAAUAUUGCACAAUGGGGGAAACCCUGAUGCAGCGACGCCGCGUGAGUGAAGAAGUAAUUCGGUAUGUAAAGCUCUAUCAGCAGGGAAGAAAAUGACGGUACCUGAGUAAGAAGCCCCGGCUAACUACGUGCCAGCAGCCGCGGUAAUACGUAGGGGGCAAGCGUUAUCCGGAUUUACUGGGUGUAAAGGGAGCGUAGGCGGUCUGGCAAGUCUGAUGUGAAAUACCGGGGCCCAACCCCGGGGCUGCAUUGGGAACUGCCAGGCUGGAGUGCCGGAGAGGCAGGCGGAAUUCCUAGUGUAGCGGUGAAAUGCGUAGAUAUUAGGAGGAACACCAGUGGCGAAGGCGGCCUGCUGGACGGUGACUGACGCUGAGGCUCGAAGGCGUGGGGAGCAAACAGGAUUAGAUACCCUUGUAGUC